RNAcentral lists this ribosomal RNA (521 nucleotides) under uncultured bacterium. RNAcentral's name for it is "bacterial SSU rRNA". It matches the Rfam family "Bacterial small subunit ribosomal RNA", at positions 8 to 524 of the family's 1533-position model. The record is from RNAcentral.
AGAGUUUGAUCCUGGCUCAGAUUGAACGCUGGCGGCAUGCCUUACACAUGCAAGUCGAACGGCAGCACGGAGCUUGCUCUGGUGGCGAGUGGCGAACGGGUGAGUAAUAUAUCGGAACGUACCCUGGAGUGGGGGAUAACGUAGCGAAAGUUACGCUAAUACCGCAUACGAUCUCAGGAUGAAAGCGGGGGACCGCAAGGCCUUGUGCUCCUGGAGCGGCCGAUAUCUGAUUAGCUAGUUGGUGGGGUAAAGGCCUACCAAGGCAUCGAUCAGUAGCUGGUCUGAGAGGACGACCAGCCACACUGGAACUGAGACACGGUCCAGACUCCUACGGGAGGCAGCAGUGGGGAAUUUUGGACAAUGGGCGCAAGCCUGAUCCAGCAAUGCCGCGUGAGUGAAGAAGGCCUUCGGGUUGUAAAGCUCUUUUGUCAGGGAAGAAAAGGGAUUGGCUAAUAUCUGGUCCUCAUGACGGUACCUGAAGAAUAAGCACCGGCUAACUACGUGCCAGCAGCCGCGGUAAU